UGAGUAACCUGCCCUCCACUCUGGGAUAAGCCCGGGAAACUGGGUCUAAUACCGGAUAUGACCUCCUGUCUCAUGGCGGGUGGUGGAAAGUUUUUUCGGUGGGGGAUGGACUCGCGGCCUAUUAGCUUGUUGGUGAGGUAAUGGCUUACCAAGGCGACGACGGGUAGCCGGCCUGAGAGGGCGACCGGCCACACUGGGACUGAGACACGGCCCAGACUCCUACGGGAGGCAG
Molecule: ribosomal RNA, 232 nt
Filed under: uncultured bacterium
Lineage: Bacteria
Description: partial 16S ribosomal RNA
Rfam family: Bacterial small subunit ribosomal RNA
Source: RNAcentral